GAUGAAGAACGUAGUGAAAUGCGAUAAGUAAUGUGAAUUGCAGAAUUCAGUGAAUCAUCGAAUCUUUGAACGCACAUUGCGCCCGCCAGUAUUCUGGCGGGCAUGCCUGUUCGAGCGUCAUUUCAACCAUCAAGCCCCGGGCUUGUGUUGGGGACCUGCGGCUGCCGCAGGCCCUGAAAUGCAGUGGCGGGCUCGCUGUCACUCCGAGCGUAGUAAUACAUCUCGCUCUGGACGUGCUGCGGGUUCCGGCCGUUAAAAGCCUUAUUUACCCAAGGUUGACCUCGGAUCAGGUAGGAAGACCCGCUGAACUUAAGCAUAUCAAUAAGCGGAGGA
RNAcentral lists this unclassified non-coding RNA (333 nucleotides) under soil metagenome. RNAcentral describes it as "partial contains 5.8S ribosomal RNA, internal transcribed spacer 2, and large subunit ribosomal RNA". The stretch from base 1 to 120 matches the Rfam family "5.8S ribosomal RNA", at positions 35 to 154 of the family's 154-position model. The record is from RNAcentral.